GCAAGUUUUCUAUUCUAACAGGAGAAGAAACAAAUUGCUCCGCUGGGGAUCUUCUGUUGAACAGACAUAAAAUCCAUCAUAGAGGAAACUCUACCGGGGAGCUCAACACAGAUAAGAUUCGUCCUAGAAGAAACUCUACUAGGGGACUUAUCAGGGAAAAAUAUGAAAUUUUGUGGGGAACAACCUCCAAACAGAAAUUCUAACAAUCAAAACACUUCCUCCUCAUCUGCUGGAGAGACAUCUCUGCUAAGGGAAGAGAGAACCAAUGCUCCGCUAGGGAAGGAAAA
RNAcentral lists this long non-coding RNA (287 nucleotides) under Lathyrus oleraceus (garden pea). Its description in RNAcentral is "Pisum sativum (pea) long non-coding RNA (PSAT_LNC025198)". Lineage: Eukaryota; Viridiplantae; Streptophyta; Magnoliopsida; Fabales; Fabaceae. The record is from RNAcentral.